RNAcentral lists this long non-coding RNA (749 nucleotides) under Homo sapiens (human). Its description in RNAcentral is "non-protein coding lnc-ZNF385D-3:4". The record is from RNAcentral. Lineage: Eukaryota; Metazoa; Chordata; Mammalia; Primates; Hominidae.
UUCUAGAUGCAUUUCGCCUCCUCGUGUUUCCACUUAACACCCACGACCCACUCACUCCAUUAAAGCUAGUUCCUCGCCUCUAGUCUCCAGGUUUCUUUUUUCGUGGUCAUCAGUCUCGCUCUCUCCCGGCACCCUCAGGCCGCGGGCCCCUCCCUUCGCGCGGGCUCGCACCUCUCCCCAGCCUGGUGCACCUGGGCUGACGCCGGCUCGGGACUCGUGCGGAGCGCCGCGAGCGCGGCGGAGGCAGAGGCGCGCUGACUGCCACCUCCAGCCCGUGCCGGAGGGACAGCACGCGCUGCGCAACGGAGACCGUUCUCCUUGGCCGCCGCUCACGGCUCGCGGCGACCACCGCCGUUGAAGCUGCAGGCGGGCAGCCGUGCGUCUCCCGGGACAGCCAGCCCCGGCGGCUGCUCCUCCCGGAUGCCAGGGCCAGGGCGCCGGGCGGCCGCCAGCAGGAGAAUGAAGAGCUCGGUGGGAGGAAGGAGAGAAAAGCUCCUGGGGGCGCCGAAAGCUCAGCCCAGCCGCGAUUUCACCUGUGUACACGAUGGCGAGAGUGAGGCUGAAUUAAUACCUGAUGACUUUGAAGAAAAACCAGAAAGAGAAAAGAAACAUACCAACUUUACUUUGUGCAAUGUAUGUAACAUUCAGCUGAAUUCAGCCGCUCAAGCACAAAUCCACUACAAUGGCAAAUCACAUCAAAAGAGAUUAAAACAACUCAGCAAUGGGACGCUGAAAAAUGACAAUGGUAA